This 6015-nucleotide long non-coding RNA is filed under the name Sus scrofa (pig). RNAcentral's name for it is "lncRNA (ENSSSCG00030062023.1)". The record is from RNAcentral. Lineage: Eukaryota; Metazoa; Chordata; Mammalia; Artiodactyla; Suidae.
AUGUCUACAUCUCAUUUUUCUAAAUCAGUGCUGUUUGGGGUUCAGAGAUUAAGUAUGUCUAACCUGAACUUGUCAACCAAAGCACUAAAUGCACCUUCCUUGGGUCAAGUCAUCCUCAGAACCCAUUGUAUUAAACAUUCGCUUCACGUUCACAUGAAAAUCCUUUAUACCCAAACGUCACCUCUUGCCAGGGACUGGAGAUCCGUUUGGGCUAAAGAGUACUUAGGCUUUUAUGUUAAGCCUGUAACUAGAUAACUAUGAUUCCGUUUCCUCCAUGGGAAAAGGAAAGUUUUAAUGUAUAGAAUGUCUAGAUUGUAAAAGACUUUUGCAACAAGACCUUGAGAAGAGAAGGCAUCUGGUCAGAGGAUGCCUUUUAAAAGAAACAGCAUUUUUUUUUUAUAUUCCCAAAUCACUGAAGAGCGCUUUAGACGUUAUUUUAAUCUCCCAACUCCUUUUUAAUUCAGAUGCCCAGAAUUCAUUAAAACCGCAAGUGAAUGUAUACGUUCCUUUCACACAAAUCGGUCCAGAAUCGCCCCUGUAAUUAGACUUUUCUUCGUCUCUCCUUCUCAAAAGCUGCUUUUGAAACUCCACAUUCUUUCCCGGAUAUAUCCCUUUUUUCCUUCAUAAAAUAUCUCAGUUCUGCCGCUAAACGCACAUAUUUGCAAAAGAGAGCCAAUGUAAAAUAAAUGCCUCUUUGCGUGGUAUUUUGUGAAUAAGUGUAUGCCUGGCAUUAGUUGGGUAAGCUAAGAAUUAAUGAGAAAUAACUGUGCUUAGAGGGGAAAAAAAAGGUAGGAGAGCGGCUGUGAUGCAAAACAAGGGAAGCGAUGAUUUAAGCAAUUCCAUUAAAGAGAAUGCAAUUACUGUAGCCUCAGGGUGGUGGCAGGUCACUUUUAAGCCUAAUUGAACUUUUUCGUAUCAUUAGGAAAACGGACCAGACUUCGGUAUCGUAGGGGUAAAUGCAAUAUUUUCUUCCUCUAGAUUUUAAAGACCCCCUGGCCUUUUCAAACAUAUACGUCCAAAUCUCAAACACCAAAUCUGAAAUCACACCUGAAGAUGAUGCGUGCCAACAUAAUACAAUAAACCAUCGUCCCUGUAUGCAUCCGCACCAUUGCAAAUAAGUACAUUCUAAUGCCUACAAUGAUUGCUUAUUAUAUGCUGGGAACUUUCACAUAGAUUCUCUCAGAAUCCUCUCAAAAACCCUGAGAGCAUAUAUAUAAGCAUAUACGGAAGUAAGGAAGCCAAGGCUAGGAAGGAUCUAGAAAGCUGAUUCUUCAGGCAACAGAGCUGGGAUUUGAACUCGGUCCUUCUGGCGUAAACCUACGGCAUUUUCCUGGGAUCGGAGAGAUGUGCUCUAUGAAGAGUGUCGUCCCUUUCACAAGGAUGGAUUUCCAAAUAGUAAGAGCACGUAGGGCCUCUGUAGCCUCACAUUCUCUUUUAUACCUCUUCCUUUUUUUUCUUUUUUUUUGCCCUUUCAACCUUACUCCAGAGGGUGGACUCGAAGAACCCGAGGACUUGGAGCAGAAGGCCCUUUUGCUACUUAGCAGUUUUUUUGAAACGGCACCUACAGCUGGCUUGUCAGGAAUGCACGUAGGGAGCAGCCUUCCUCUGCCUCAUGUGUCCAUCAGAUCCCUUGCUUCAGAAAACCUGCACCCUAUUUAGACCUUAAGAUUCACCCCAAGGAAAGAACAGUGCCUGGUGGUUCACAGAAAUGAAAAUUUCCAAAAUGGUGUAGCUCAUCCUUUCUGUAUCGUCAUCCCCAAGCAUGCACUCUCCCCCUGCCAAUUUAUUUACUUAUUUUUUUUGUAAUAUGUGGUUGCAAAAGUUCUCACUGGAACUGAGGGGACACAUUGGGCAACUUUCAUAGGUAAAUUCCUGGUACUGGCCAGAAUAGGUAUGGGUCGAAGGCACCAGGCCUGGGGCCAAGUUCUCCAGACAGGCCUGUACAGUGGCUUCUGCAAAUUUUGAUAAGAAUCAGGAGCUUUUACAUUGCAAAUCAAAUUUCUUAAUUAAGAAGAAGAAAAAAAUCAGAUGAUCCAUAAUCUCUGGGCUCAAAUCCCUUUGUCAUAAUUUCUGCUAGAACUACAUUGCAGCUGCCCCAUUAAGAUGGGGGUACAGAUUCUUGAGGUCAUCAGAGCCCCCCUACUUUCUGUCCCACACCUGUCUCCCUUACCUGUCUGGCUGCCAUGGUGGGUAGCCCUACCAUUCUUGGUUUUUGUAGGCUUCCUUUGUGGACCACUGUUGGGAGGUGGGAGGAAUCUGGCCUUUGCUAUUGGACAGACUUUGGUUAGGGAACUGGUUCUUUUUGGGUGUUUUGUGUUUUUUUUCCUUUUGAGGGCGGCACAUGCAGCAUGUGGAAGUUCCCAGGCUAGGGGCUGAAUCAGAGCUGCAGCUGCGGGCCCAUGCCAUAGCCACAGCAACACAGGAUCCAAGCAGCAUCCGUUGCCUAUGCUGCAGCUUGUGGCAACACCAGAUCCUUAACCCACUGAGUGAGGCCAGGGAUUGAACUCCUAUCCUCACAAUGUCGGGUUCUUAACCUACUGAGCCACAGUGGGAACUCCAGGGAACUGGUUCUUGGUUCUCCCUGUUACUAUUUGUGUGGUCUUGGCCCUCGAUCUAAAGAAGCUUCCAUUUCUGCAUCUGUAAAAAAGGCCCAAGACUUCCUACCUCGCCAGUUGGUGUGCAGAUCAGAGACAAAGACUGGGAGGUACUUACCCCAGUGCUGGCAUACAGUAGGUGCUCUAUUCAUAGAAGCAACAGGAUGGGAACAGCUCCCAAAACAUUUUGUCUCUGAGAAAGGAUCAGUAUCUACCCAUCAAAGUCUUAAAUACCCUUGGGUUAUUCGAGAUGGGAGAGAGGUUAGAGCUGCAUCAGAAAGCAUCCUGGCUUGAUGGAGAAGGACUCAAAAGCUGGGAAUUGACUGUGCCAAGAUUACCCUGUUACUUUGAGGCAGACAGGUUCAGAGCCAGUGAUUUUCCGUGGACCCACACAGAGAGGCCUUGGAGUGUGCUUUUGAGGAUUAAGUAUGUGACUGUGCUUCUUGAAUUAUCAAGUGUGAGAAUAACAAGGUAGUUUUGAUUAGCACGAAGGUGGUGUAGCAACUUGGGAUCAUUAUGUUUAGGAAGACUGAACUGUUGUUCUUUCAUUCAUUCAUUCAGCACGAAUUGAGUCUCUAGGUUGGUCUGGUCCUGGGGUUACCGCAAGUCUAACAAGGCCAGUGCCUUCGGAGAGCUGAGAACCUGAGGAGGGUGGAGGAGGCAGAAGAGAAAGCAGAUACAGGGAUGACUUUGGAGUGAGAAAGAAAGAAGAAGGGAAUAAAGAGGAUUGUGGGAGGAGGAGCCCGUAGCGCCAACAGGAGAGCGAGGCUCGGCAGAGGAGCAGUAAGCAGAGAGAACCCAAGGAAGGGACCGUCUGUUUGAAGAACCAGGUGACUUGGGAGAGGUGGCCAGAGGCUUUGGACUUUAUUCUUAAUAUAGUGCAGAGGGUUUUAAUCAGAAGAGUAUAGAGUAUUUUCUGAUUUUGUUCGAAUGCACUUUUUUUUGGCCAAAGUCUCUCUGGAAGGAAGAGACUUUUAACUAAGCCUGCCCCCCCUUCCCUUCCCCUUGGGGACCGUCUCCAGAAGGGCUCUUAGGCCCUUCAGAAUGCACAAUGGAGACCUGAUUUGCAGGUAGGUUCCAGAAUCCUGAGCAUCUGUGACUUGCCUGCCCAGGGUCUCUUGCCUGGUGUCCAGAAACAGGACCCAGGGUUCUUGUCAUUAACCGAAAGGGCAAAGGGUGAGCCUUCUGUUCUUUUUCUGCCUGUGGUUUUCCUAAUUCUCAACACUUCUGUCAGCUGUUACAUAGUGUGUCUACUCCCUAGGUCACUAAAAUGUUUCCCCAUGACCACAGAAAAAGGUGUUAAGUCAAUGCAGUUCUGUCUGAAAUAGGAUCCGUGUGUCAUGCAUCCCCGAGUUUGGGUUUUUCCAACGACAUCGUGACACCUCAGACCUUUGCCUUUUCAUCUGCUCUGAACUAAAAAAGAAAUCAUUCGUUUCUAUUUCAGUCCAACUCAGCUUUUUGGCUUUGCUGUAGUUGCUUUGAGGUAAGAUAUGAUCAACAGUAGAAACCACCAGCUCCCACGUGGAGCUCAUUAGAUGGCUGAACAGUGCAGUGUAGACGAUGGAGUCCCACUAGCACACUUCUGAUACUGGGCAUUGUUCACUUUGGGUUUGUUGUUACAAAUUAUGGAGGCGGUCCUGGGGUGGCUCAGCAGGUUAGGAACUCAACUCGUAUCCAUGAGAUGCAGGUUCAAUCCCUGGCCUCACUCAGUGAGUUAAGGAUCCGGCGUUGCUGCAGGCUCUGGCAAAGGUGGCAGACACAGCUUGGAUCCGUCAUUACUGUGGCUGUGGCGUAGGCUGGCAGCUGCAGCUCCAAUUCACUCCCUCGCCCAGGAACUUCCACAUGCCGUGGGCACAGCCAUAAAAAAGAAAAAAGGAAAGAAAAACUUACAGAAAUGCUGAAAACUUGAGUAGAUAGCAUCCGGCACCUUCAUUUUACAGGUAAGGAAACAGCCUCAGAGGAGUUCCCUGGUAACUCAGUGGUUAAAGAUCUGGCAUUGUCCUUGCAGCGGCUUGGGUCACUACUGUGGCACAGGUUCAAUCCCCAGAACUUCCACAUGCCUCGAGCGAGUGCAUCCAGAAAGAAAAAGAAACAGCCUCAGAGAAGUGAUGUGCUUUGGGUCAGCCUCACACCCUGACAGGUCCAGGUUUGUGACUCUGAGUAACCCUUGCACAACAGCUUUGGGGACCACGUUCUGAGGACGGGCAGGUCCUGCUGUUCCGAAAUCCAGGGCUUGUCCUUUGGGUGGUUCUCAGCCUCCCCACCUCUUGAUUCUUUUAUGAAGUUCUGCCUGGCAGGUUUCCAGGCACAUGUGGCCACAGAUGAAGCACGUCCACUGUGACCUCACUGACUAUGAGGAUGAAGCAAGGAGACCAAACGCUGAUGCAGACACUGGUGCCUCCUCCACUUGCAGUUUGGCUCCAGGGGUGGAGACGGGGAUAAAUAUGUAUCAGCAUGAAUGGAGUAGAGGUCUGUCUCUAACCUGAAACUGCAUCUGAACGUGAACUGCCGGGUCGUCCUAAUGAACUUCAGAGGCCCCCUCCCCAUUCUUUUCCACCCAAAUUUUUUCUAAGGCGGGGUGGGCAGGCCGAGCCCGUUUGGCCAAGUGAAAUGCAUGGAAAAGAGGCACGGUCCUGCAUGCCUUUUCGGUGUCCACAUCCGGAUUUACCUAAACCCCACCCAGGUGGCAUUUGCGUAGCUCUGAAAAACCGGUAUUUUCUAUCCGUGAAUCACACCCCCAAUCCUGGGCUUCCGUCCGUCAGGGGUGCGGCUGGCCAGCUUCCGGGAAGGAUGGGCAUCAUCGGAGGCCCGGGGAGCGUGGCUGGGGAAGGUCCCGGUGCCCGGGGGUCCGGCGGUGACUGCUGACGUCCGCUUUCGGGUCUGGACAUGGAGCCCUCUGUGCGCCCUCCUGUCAAAAGGCCAGACAAGGAAAGCGGCUUCCUGAGUUUCUGCUGCCCGGGGCCCUGCUGUGCGGGAGACAAGAGCAAGGUACCAAAGCGGCCUGAUGCUGGGGGUCGUCGCCCUUCGCCGGGUCUCUCCUCUGCUGUGCGGUGACUCCUGGGGCAGCUCGCCUGGGGCUGAGCUCUUCCCGGCCACUCACUGCUGGGGGAGCACCGAGAGGCCCCAGGGGUCCCUGUGGUUUCUUUUAAGUUAAAUUAUGCUUUGCUGCCAAGGAUCAUUGCCCACAGCAAUUAAACCUGGUUUCAUGAUGAUUAAAUUACUUUUCUUUACUCUGAAAAAGUAAAGAAUUUCGUUUUCUGUACAAAGGCAGGAAGCAUUUUUCUUUGAUGAUACAGAGCGUCCCCAGGUAAGGUGUAAGCCACGCUCCUGUGCUGGGCUCUGAAAUCAUGAGUCCGUGGCCUCCUGCUUUGGAAAUGCCACAGCGAUUGGAAAACCGAGUGCUUCUGGUUAAGAAUUUUCU